CAAAAGUAGGCAAUGAGUCCCACUUUUCACGGGGUUGCUGCUGUCAUUACGUGUCUGGGCAGCAAGCAGGCCCACGUUGAGGUGAGAGGGAGUGUAAACGGUGCUUGGGCCGAACUUGUUUGCAGCUUUGUAUCUUGGUGUAUUGUUCAGAUCCAUACUAUACAUUCAAAGCAUAUUUAAUGCACACUUGCACAGAUUUCACCUCCCCCCAAAAGAAUCCUGGGAAUUGUAGUUUUCCCCUCACAGGGGGGUACCAUUUCUAGCGCCCUUAACAUCAACUACAGUUCCCCAGAGUCUCUGGGAGAAGUUAUGCGCUUUGAACACACAUUGAACAUACUUUUAAGUGUACAGUGUGGAUCUUCCCUUAGAAAAAAGCCACAUGGCAUGACCUGGAGUGCCGUUUCAUAUAUUUAUAUACAUGCACAUGGUGCUCAGAAUGAAGCAUUAUGCUCCCCAUUCCCAUUUCUUUUCAGGAUCUAAAUCAACCUGCUUGCCCUCCAGGUGUUUUGGACUACAACUCCCGUCCGUUCCGUCUGGGGCAGAUGGGAAUUGCAGUCAGAAACAUCUGGAGGGUACCAGGUUGGCAAAGGCUGAGCUAAAGCAAGCGCUUCUUUUGGUUUGAGGAUCCUGGUCUAAUUUGAAGUGAAAUCGCCCUGCUUUUGAAUCCUCCUCGUAAACAUCUCUGAGCAUCUUCCAGGGAUUUUUGUUGCUUUGAAGCGUGCAGUUGGACACAAAAUGUGCAUUGGAAAACAAUUUUGUUCAGUUGGAAAGAUGAUAAAGCACAGUUGGAAGAAUGGGAGGCAGGGAGAAACUAGACACGUUAGGCUUUUGUGUUUAUUAAGCGCUUAAAUCUCAGGCGGCGUCAGGGACAGUAUACAUGUAAAUUUUAUUAGGAUUGGAUGUGCUCCGUUUCCAUAUGUAAACUGCCAAAACCUUUUUAAAGCACCUUCUUUUGGGUCAGAACCUCCUCUACUUCCCCUUCCCCUUUGGGCAGGUAACGGUGCAUCCUUGGUCCAGGUUCGAUCCCCAGUGGCAACUCCAGGUCAGGUUGAGAGAGAUCCUUGCCUGAAAUCCUAGAGAACCUCAGCCAGUCAGUAUAGACAGUCCUGAGCUAGGUCUGCCUCUGUAUUCUAUAUUCUGUACUAGAUAAGAGCUGCUCACUUGAAACCACCGCUGAUACAGGGUGUGAACAAAGAGCAAAGCACACCUUGUGACCCUUUGACCUUUUUUAGCGUGGGGUGUCCAAUAAGAAAUUUGUGCAGCUGAAAGGCUAAGUGAACAUUAUGGACAUGUAUGUGUGUUGCACAGCUGUUGCUAACAAUCUGCAUCUUCCCCACAUUUCUCUUGCAGCAUCUAGUAAAAGAAACAAGCAUUGGGAUGCCAUAGGCUUCAGCAUUUCCUUAUCCUUCCUCUGUUGUGUUGACCAGUGUAUGCAGGACAAGGGGAAAUACCAGUUGUGGGGAGGUCGCAAGAUUGCUCAUUUCUUUUAUUAGGCAUUAGCAAGAUGACACAUGAGGCCAAGACGUCAAAAAGCAACGGUCAUGAGUUCCAGGUAAGUCACUCUUGUAUCUCCAUGGAACUCAGUGAGAUUAACAGGUUAGUUCUAAGUGACGCCAUCAUCUCCAGUAAUUCCAGCUAAGGUUCCAGCACAGUGGCUGCUGUGUUGUGGGAUAUCUUCAGGAGAAGAAAAGGCUGAGGAGUAAACCCUAUACAAAUCCGGAGUAGAGUCCCUAAGACAGUGAAAUGGUGCCUUGUACACCUCCUUCUGGCAACUCCUGCAGCUGAGUUAGUGCCAAAUGCCUUGCUCUGCUUUCCUUUGGACCACAUCAGUGAAGCCAAGAGGGGUUUUUUGUUAUAUGGGCAGCCCAGGACAUUCAUACACACUGAUCAGUGUUGUGCCCCGGAGAGGUCACCUUAGUGCUGCUAACACAACAAAAACAACAUGGGGAGGCAGCAGUUAUGAGUUACUGGUCACUGCAGCCACAGCAGGCGCUGUGAUUCCCCAGAGGUUUGAUUUUACCCCCGGAGGCAUACGCCAUUGUCUCUCGAGACGGACGGAUGCUAGCAAGAUAUCAGGAAAAAAUAACACAUUAGCUCAGUGGUAGGGCAUCCCACAUAAACUCUUCAGCAUCCCUGAGUAGAACUAGGAGUGACUCCCUGCCUGAAACCCUGGAGAGCUGCUGCCAGCCAUUGUAGGCAAUACAUUUGCAGCCCAAACAUUGAUGAACAGCAAAAUCUUCAAAAUCCAUCAAAUGCCUGGGAAAGAGGUGUUUUUUUACACGGUGCCAAAAACAGUGUUAAUGAUAGAGCUAGGCAGGCCUCACUGUGGACAGCUUUUCACAGACACGGAGCCACAGCUGAAAAGGCAACCUCCUCAAAGCUCUUGCUUCGAUAGUUCUCCACUGCAGGUUGUUGUUGUUUUAUUAAAUUUAUGUACUGCCCUUCCUCUGAAGAUCACAGGGCUGAUCACAACACAAAAGUGAAAACACAAAAUACAAAAGUUUUGAAGUGCUAGCAUCUACUUUACACCGAUACACCCACCCAAGAAAAAUAAUAGGAUCUGGAUUUGUUUUUCCUUUCAUAUCAUUUAGUUACAUAAAGGUGUAAGGAAUGCUGAGGGGGGAAAUAUUAACAUCAACAUGUCUGCAGUCAGAAAACCCUAGCAGCAAAAGGUUGCUUCCUGAAACAAACAACUGAGGGUCUCAUCUUAAAGGCGAACAGAUUUAUUGUGGUAUAAACAU
Molecule: long non-coding RNA, 2741 nt
Filed under: Podarcis lilfordi (Lilford's wall lizard)
Lineage: Eukaryota; Metazoa; Chordata; Lepidosauria; Squamata; Lacertidae
Source: RNAcentral